CCCCGCCCGUCUCUGCUCUUCGUGUGCAUCUCUGCUCUUCUUGCUCUAAAUCACAAGGAACGAAAUCCUUAAUUUCAAAACUUAGAAAAUCGUAGCCCCAAAUCGUGGAACCGGGGAUUUCUAUCUACAAGCAGCUUGCAAGGGAACUUGACAACGACGACUUAGCCUAGCAAGAGGAGGACAAGCCACAAUUGCGCGGUUCGUCGAGACCUGGUUCGACGCGAAGACCCAAUUCGCCUAUACCCAAUUGUGACUCGACUCGGCCUUGAGAUUCUGCACCAAACCCGACAUUCAGGUAUGAUUUCUUUUGGACUCUGCCACUUUGCAAUGCAGUUUGUUUCAGCUUUUGUAUACACAAGUAGAGCCUGAGAUUAGUAGUUUCAUUUGUGCGAAAAUCAAUCACGAAUGAGGCUGCUUUGAUAUAUUCAGCUUCUGUUAUUUUAGAUUGUUAUACUUUGCAUUCAUAUAGAAUCACUAUCCACCUAAUAUUCAACCCCUUCGAUAAAAUGCCUAAGUGACAUACGAAUGUAUGUCUGUGAAAGAGUGAGUUUUACGAUAAUAUUAUUCGAUUUUAACCAUCCAAGAGCUAUUGGAACAUCAAUUUGAAUAGAACUUAUCGAAACAAUAUGUCAUGGCUUGUGGGUCACCAAGAAUAUAAAUGAUCAAUCAAGUUGUUGUUUAUGGAUUUGUUUUUGUUAUGCAUUGUCAUUACCUUUUUGAUUCUAUGUUCUGUAUUGCCAUCAAGAUGAUUGUAAAUAGAUACAUGUAGUUCAAGUCAACGAAGUUUCAGAUUAUUAGAGGCUAAUCUACUUAUCUAUGUUACAUUUUCUUCUCGUAGCUUUAAAUUUUUAUUGUAACUGCUUCCCAAAUCUGUUGGUUAUUGGGUUUGUAGCAGCUGGUGGUUCAAGUUUUGUUCACAUGCUGAAGCAUUAAAUUAUUUUUAUUGCUUGAUUUACUUGCAUUGCUGGGGAUAUGAUCUCAAGAAGUGUGGGGAAUGUUUUGUUUUGUUAAGUAGUAGAACCAAUGUAAGAAUAGAGCAAGCACACUUAAUUGGAUAGCAUCUUCAUCUUGACCUUCAUUAGUGGCAACGUUUUCCAGAGUUGCUUGUUGCAAAAUUGAAUUGAAUUUUCACAUACUAUUAACUAAUUUUGCAUGUAUCUGUUCACCUAUUCAUCACGUUUGUAUAUUGCCUUGAUUAUUGAAAGAGGUACUUCAAAUUGUAAGUGGGAAUCUAUAUGGAUCGAAUCUGGAAUAGGUUUCUAAAGAUAGCUGAAUCACAGCAUCAGGAAUUCAGGUCAAGCUCAAAGAGAUAUUUCUUUUAUUCUUCCACACUUUGACAAUAUGGACCACUUUAGACAGAUUUGCACAAGAUCUUUAAAAUGUCAUCCUCAUUAGGCUUUGGUACCAAAGGUUUCCUUGAUCUAUUAAGGCUUUGCAUCUCUCGAAUCAAAGAGAGAUUUCAAGGCUUCUCGGACUACCUCCAACCAGUCAAGUCCAGUGGAUAACCUUUCUCAGAGUUCCAGUGACAACUCCGAGGAGGCUCUGGCUGAUAUGAACCAUUGUCAAUGGUCUCAGCUACAUGAAGAAGAAGAUGGUUUCACACAAGAAGUUCCAGAGUGAUCAUCAAGAGGAAGGCCUGUUGAAAGUGAUCAUCCCAUCAGUCUAGGCGAGACUGGCUUUCUGGAAGGAAGGAUCAUCAAGAGGAAGGCCUCCCUUGAUGGCACAGCGGAAAAAGAGAGCUCAAAACAAAAGCGUAUGCAUGUGGAUGAUUCUCUUGUCAAUGAUGGUAUGUUGUCAACUGA
Eucalyptus grandis is the source of this 1802-nucleotide long non-coding RNA. RefSeq lists it as uncharacterized. The record is from RefSeq and is a predicted model, not a curated record. The transcript is spliced from 3 exons. Lineage: Eukaryota; Viridiplantae; Streptophyta; Magnoliopsida; Myrtales; Myrtaceae.